This 587-nucleotide ribosomal RNA is filed under the name uncultured bacterium. RNAcentral's name for it is "bacterial SSU rRNA". It matches the Rfam family "Bacterial small subunit ribosomal RNA", at positions 338 to 916 of the family's 1533-position model. The record is from RNAcentral.
CCUACGGGAGGCAGCAGUAGGGAAUCUUCCACAAUGGACGAAAGUCUGAUGGAGCAACGCCGCGUGAGUGAUGAAGGCCUUCGGGUCGUAAAGCUCUGUUGUUAGGGAAGAACAAGUAUCGGAGUAACUGCCGGUACCUUGACGGUACCUAACCAGAAAGCCACGGCUAACUACGUGCCAGCAGCCGCGGUAAUACGUAGGUGGCAAGCGUUGUCCGGAAUUAUUGGGCGUAAAGCGCGCGCAGGCGGUCCUUUAAGUCUGAUGUGAAAGCCCACGGCUCAACCGUGGAGGGUCAUUGGAAACUGGGGGACUUGAGUACAGAAGAGGAAAGCGGAAUUCCACGUGUAGCGGUGAAAUGCGUAGAGAUGUGGAGGAACACCAGUGGCGAAGGCGGCUUUCUGGUCUGUAACUGACGCUGAGGCGCGAAAGCGUGGGGAGCAAACAGGAUUAGAUACCCUGGUAGUCCACGCCGUAAACGAUGAGUGCUAAGUGUUAGGGGGUUUCCGCCCCUUAGUGCUGCAGCUAACGCAUUAAGCACUCCGCCUGGGGAGUACGGCCGCAAGGCUGAAACUCAAAGGAAUUGACGG